AAACAAGUGAUUUAUACCUCCGA
RNAcentral lists this non-coding RNA (23 nucleotides) under Arabidopsis thaliana (thale cress). Lineage: Eukaryota; Viridiplantae; Streptophyta; Magnoliopsida; Brassicales; Brassicaceae. The record is from RNAcentral.